RNAcentral lists this ribosomal RNA (1349 nucleotides) under metagenome. RNAcentral describes it as "bacterial LSU rRNA". It matches the Rfam family "Bacterial large subunit ribosomal RNA", at positions 1564 to 2925 of the family's 2925-position model. The record is from RNAcentral.
UGAGUGCGAGUUGCUACGGCAACGAAGUUGGUGACGUCAAGCUUCCAAGAAAAGCCCUAUACCCGUUAAGGCAUCAUGGCCUGUACCCGAAACCGACACAGGUGGGGUGGUAGAGAAUACCGAGGGGCGCGAGGUAACUCUCUCUAAGGAACUCGGCAAAAUGGCCCCGUAACUUCGGGAGAAGGGGUGCCACCGCAAGGUGGUCGCAGUGAAGAGGCCCAGGCGACUGUUUACCAAAAACACAGGUCUCCGCUAAGUCGCAAGACGAUGUAUGGGGGCUGACGCCUGCCCAGUGCCGGAAGGUUAAGGAAGCCGGUUAGCGUAAGCGAAGCUGGCGACUGAAGCCCCGGUGAACGGCGGCCGUAACAAUAACGGUCCUAAGGUAGCGAAAUUCCUUGUCGGGUAAGUUCCGACCCGCACGAAAGGCGUAACGAUCUGGGCGCUGUCUCGGAGAGAGGCUCGGCGAAAUAGAAUUGUCUGUGAAGAUGCGGACUACGUGCACCCGGACAGAAAGACCCUAUGAAGCUUUACUGUAGCUUGGUAUUGUGCUCGGGCUCGGAAUGCGCAGGAUAGGUGGGAGGCUAUGAACCAUUGCUUGUGGGUGAUGGUGAGCCACUGGUGAGAUACCACUCUUUCCGAGCUAGAGUUCUAACGGCCACCCGUUAUCCGGGGGCCGGACAGUAUCAGGUGGGCAGUUUGACUGGGGCGGUCGCCUCCUAAAAGGUAACGGAGGCGCGCAAAGGUUUGCUCAGGCUGGUUGGAAAUCAGCCGACGAGUGUAAAAGCAGAAGCAAGCUUGACUGUGAGACCUACAAGUCGAACAGGGAGGAAACUCGGCUUUAGUGAUCCGACGGUUCUGCGUGGAAGGGCCGUCGCUCAACGGAUAAAAGUUACUCUAGGAUAACAGGCUGAUCUCCCCCAAGAGUUCACAUCGACGGGGAGGUUUGGCACCUCGAUGUCGGCUCAUCGCAACCUGGGGCUGAAGUCGGUCCCAAGGGUUGGGCUGUUCGCCCAUUAAAGCGGUACGCGAGCUGGGUUCAGAACGUCGUGAGACAGUUCGGUCCAUAUCCGGUGCAUGCGCAGGAAUAUUGAGAGGAUUUCUCCCUAGUACGAGAGGACCGGGAGGAACGCACCUCUGGUGUACCAGUUAUCGUGCCAACGGUAAACGCUGGGUAGCCAUGUGCGGAGAGGAUAACCGCUGAAAGCAUCUAAGUGGGAAGCCCACCUCAAGAUGAGUAUUCCCAUGGCGUUAGCCAGUAAGGUCACGGGAAGAACACCCGUUGAUAGGCUCUAUGUGGAAGCGCAGUAAUGCGUGAAGCAGAGGAGUACUAAUAGACCGAGGGCUUGACC